CCUACGGGUGGCAGCAGUGAGGAAUAUUGGGCAAUGGGCGAGAGCCUGAACCAGCCAAGUCGCGUGAGGGAUGAAGGUUCUAUGGAUCGUAAACCUCUGUUAUAAGGGAAUAAAGUGAGGGACGUGUCCGAUUUUGUAUGUACCUUAUGAAUAAGGAUCGGCUAACUCCGUGCCAGCAGCCGCGGUAAUACGGAGGAUGCGAGCGUUAUCCGGAUUUAUUGGGUUUAAAGGGUGCGUAGGCGGCCUUUUAAGUCAGCGGGGAAAGUCUGUGGCUCAACCAUAGAAUUGCCGUUGAAACUGGUGGGCUUGCGUAUGUUUGAGGCAGGCGGACUGCGUGGUGUAGCGGU
This 347-nucleotide ribosomal RNA is filed under the name uncultured bacterium. RNAcentral's name for it is "partial 16S ribosomal RNA". It matches the Rfam family "Bacterial small subunit ribosomal RNA", at positions 338 to 682 of the family's 1533-position model. The record is from RNAcentral.